AGUUUGAGGGUUGCCCUACAAUUUGCCUAUAAAAGGCAGCAUAUCUGCUCUAUUUUGAUAAGAUUUGGCAGCCUAAAAUUCCUCAAAAAUACUCCCCAAAGCUUCCAAAUCUGGAAUUGAAACUUCAAAUUUGAAAUUCUCUUGGAUUUUAACUUUUUUUCAAAAGAAAAACCAAAAACAAAUAAAAACCUUCAAAAAUCCAGAAAUAUUUACGGUUCCAUUGAUAAUUUCAAGUUUUGGGUAUUUGAUUUCCAUCAUCUGGCUCAAUAUUUGGUGGCUGAGGUUUAAAGGUUUCCUGAAGUGGAAUUCGAUUGAUUUUGGGUUUAUUCGGGCUGGUUUUUGGUCUAUUUGGUAGUUCUGUUUGGUUUUUAAACACUCCUGGAUUUCUGAACUGAUUCCUGGUUGUUCGUUUACUCAACACUGCUAGAAAAUGUUGUUUGUUGCUGCUGCUCAAUUUAUCACUUUAGCUGACUUUUUCUACCUCACUUCUAUUCCAAUUCCAGGUACACAACUGUCUUUCAUAACCGUGAGAUGAAAUGUGAAGGCAGAAUCCAAAUGAUAGUUGAAGCAUGAAAUUUGAAUUAUUUCCAUUUCUGAACCCUGUGUUUGAAAUUUAGUUAUUGAUGUUGUUUAAAUUCCUGUUUGUUUUGUAUUAGAUGGAUUAUUGUUGUGAUUCUGAUUCAAUAAGUGUUGUUUGCCAAGUUCAGUCCUAGGUCCAGUCACAUUAGUUAUAGUCAUUCUCAUGUUGGAUAUUGUCGUAAAUAUGUGUUAAAAAUGAUGUGUGUUGAACGGCUUUGAAUUUCAGUAGGUUGGAAGCAUUGAGAUCAAAAUAAUUGGCUGCUCGAAUUUUUAUCUUAGUUAUGUGGAAAGUAAUCUAUGCCUCAUCAUUGUAAUUAGGAUAUUGGAGUUAAAAUUGAGUUUUAGUACAUUCAAUCACAGAUUAUAAAGUCGCGCUUUAGUCAAAUAAUUUAAAGUUGGCUGAACUGUUUUGGGCUGAUUUAAGUUCCAAUAGUACGAAGGCAUCAUUUGAUCAUUUGAGUUUGCAUAGUAAUGUGUGUUGUGAUCGGUGAGGGUGUAUAAGUUUGUUAUUUUAGACAUUGAAUUUGAAUUGAUUUCUGUCAUGCUUAUUCAAAAUAUCACAAGCCACUCAAGUAAAAAUCUGAAUUUGUCAUUAAGCGUUUCAUGGAAUGCCUUCAAAUUUUGAACUGCAUAAUCGACCUCACGACAGUUUUAAGCGGUCAACGAAAUAUAAGUGUGUGCAUGCCAUUGAAUUCAUUAGGGCCUUUGCCUUAAUUUAGAGACAAAGUAAAUGGAAACUGAUAGUUGCUUUAGGAUUGGCCUUUAAAUAAAAAAUAUGAGACGAGUCUCGCCAUAAUGAAACUACAAAGGCGGGGCCCUCAAUAGUGUCUUAUGGAAAUACUUAGAAUUUGGGAGGGCCGUUUAGUGAAUUUCACGGCUUUCCCCAAAGUAAUAUUAAGUUAGAAUCUUUAAACGCAUUUAAUUAAAGUACUUUCCUAAACUCAGGUGUGCAUUGAUGCAACCCAAAUUCAAAUCCCGACGAAGUUGAAAUGUGUUGACGACCACGGGUGCCUUGAUGGUGACGGGGUUCGAAACGCAUUUUCACGAUGCCGUAAUUCUUGUAAACUAAACAACGAUCGAAGAAUAGUUCGAAAAUGGAGACGAGCCUCAGCGAACAAAAACAAAUGUGGGGCCCUCAAUAAUUAGUUAUUAAAAAUGAUUAGAAUUCGGAAGGGCCGUUUAACGAAUUUCAACGGCCUUUCCCAAACAAUAUUACGUUACAAACUUUUUAAGCGCGAUUUAAUUAAAAUUACUUUCUUAAACUCGAGCGCGCAUUGAUGCGACCCAAAUCCAAAUCUCUAUGAAGUCGAAAUGUGUUGAUAACCACGGGUGCCUUGAUGGCGACGUGGUCAAGGACGCGUUUUCACGACAUCGUAAGUCUUUAAAAGUAAAUAAUGGUAAAAGCGGUUUGAUAAAUAAAAGGCACAUAAGCUAGCAUGUAUUAAAAUCAGAUAAAAUCAAAUACGACAGUUGAACGACGGUGCUAGAACCACGGAAUCCAGAAAUGCCUAACACCUUCUCCCGGGUUAACAUAAUUCCUUACCCGGAUUUCUGAUUCGCGGACUAUUAACAGAGUCAUAAUCUUCCUCAGUUCGGGAUUCAAAUCGUGACUUGGGACACCAUUAAUCUCCCAAUUGGCGACUCUGAAUAAUUAAUAAAUAAAUCUCGUUCUGAUUGUCCUUUUAUUAGAAAAAUACCUUUAUGCCCUUGCGGGUGUAAUGAAAAAGGAGGUGUGACAGUUUAUGGAAGAGAUUCUAAAGUGUGUAGCAGCUGAUGACUUCAUACUUAUAGUAUUUUCGCUUCUGCGGCUUGGGAACCGAAGAAGCGGCUUAGGGCAUCGCAGAUGUGAGAUUGGGCAAAAGGCCAGGGAAAUUACUGUGAUGCUAAGGGUUUUAUCCGAGGCUUAAUUUUAAAGUUUGAAAAAUCAAGUUUGAGCUCGGGCAAAUGAGAGGGUUUUAAAUAUGAUAUUAUUGGGUAAUGUUACUAUGAUUCUUUUUAGUUAUAUUCCAUGGUUUUGUGGUUAAAAAUCCAUCUUUCAAAUUCGAAUUUAGGAUAAAAAAUUGGAUAAUUUGGGUAAAACUUCUUUGGCUAAACUAUUUAGUUUUGAAGGGGCAUUUGACCUCCGAUUGGAGAGAUUUUUAUAUGGUUAGACUC
This 2733-nucleotide long non-coding RNA is filed under the name Nicotiana benthamiana. RNAcentral describes it as "long non-coding RNA (NBEN_LNC023329)". Lineage: Eukaryota; Viridiplantae; Streptophyta; Magnoliopsida; Solanales; Solanaceae. The record is from RNAcentral.